CUACGGGUGGCUGCAGUCGAGAAUCUUCCACAAUGGACGAAAGUCUGAUGGAGCGACGCCGCGUGAGGGAUUAAGGCUUUCUGAGUCGUAAACCUCUGUCAGGAGAGAAGAAAAGCAUUGUAAUGAAUAGUUACGAUGUCUGACGUUAUCUCCAGAGGAAGCUCCGGCUAACUCCGUGCCAGCAGCCGCGGUAAUACGGGGGGAGCAAGCGUUGUCCGGAAUUAUUGGGCGUAAAGGGCGUGUAGGUGGUUUUGUAAGUCGAAUGUGGAAUCUUACGGCUCAACCGUGAAAUUGCGUUCGAAACUACAUGACUUGAGUUAGGGAGAGGUGUACGGAAUUCCUGGUGUAGCGGUGGAAUGCGUAGAUAUCAGGAAGAACACCGAUGGCGAAGGCAGUACACUGGCCUGUAACUGACACUGAGGCGCGAAAGCGUGGGGAGCAAACAGGAUUAGAUACCCGAGUAGUC
This 466-nucleotide ribosomal RNA is filed under the name uncultured bacterium. RNAcentral describes it as "partial 16S ribosomal RNA". It matches the Rfam family "Bacterial small subunit ribosomal RNA", at positions 339 to 795 of the family's 1533-position model. The record is from RNAcentral.